CAGCCGCCGCGGUAAUACGUAGGUGGCAAGCGUUGUCCGGAAUUAUUGGGCGUAAAGCGCGCGCAGGCGGAUAGGCCAGUCUGUCUUAAAAGUUCGGGGCUUAACCCCGUGAUGGGAUGGAAACUGCCAAUCUAGAGUAUCGGAGAGGAAAGUGGAAUUCCUAGUGUAGCGGUGAAAUGCGUAGAUAUUAGGAAGAACACCAGUGGCGAAGGCGACUUUCUGGACGAAAACUGACGCUGAGGCGCGAAAGCCAGGGGAGCGAACAGGAUUAGAGACCCCAGUAGUCCCUGUCUCUUAUACC
RNAcentral lists this ribosomal RNA (301 nucleotides) under uncultured bacterium. RNAcentral describes it as "partial 16S ribosomal RNA". It matches the Rfam family "Bacterial small subunit ribosomal RNA", at positions 509 to 808 of the family's 1533-position model. The record is from RNAcentral.